Molecule: ribosomal RNA, 1457 nt
Filed under: metagenome
Description: bacterial SSU rRNA
Rfam family: Bacterial small subunit ribosomal RNA
Source: RNAcentral
AGAGUUCGAUCGUGGCUCAGGAUGAACGCUAGCGGCGCGCCUAAUGCAUGCAAGUCGGGCGAUGAGUUCCUUCGGGGACAUCAGCGGCAAACGGGUGAGUAACACGUAGGUGACCUACCCUCGACCCGGGGAUAACGGCUGGAAACAGGCGCUAAUACCGGAUGAGCUUCUCGGGUCACAGCGAGAAGGAAAGCCGAAAGGCGGUGGAGGCGGGGCCUGCGGCCCAUCAGCUAGUUGGUGUGGUAACGGCGCACCAAGGCGAGGACGGGUAGGGGGUGUGAGAGCACGGCCCCCCACAAUGGGACUGAGAGACGGCCCAUACUCCUACGGGAGGCAGCAGCAGGGAAUAUUGCGCAAUGAGCGCAAGCUAGAUGCAGCGACGCCGCGUGGAUGAAGAAGGCCUUCGGGUUGUAAAAUUCUUUUCAGGGGGAAGAGACAGGACGGUACCCUUGGAAUAAGCGUCGGCUAACUACGUGCCAGCAGCCGCGGUAAGACGUAGGACGCGAGCGUUAUCCGGAUUUACUGGGCGUAAAGCGUCUGUAGGCGGGCUGACAAGUUGGGCGUGAAAGCUCCGGGCUUAACUCGGAGAGGUCGUUCAAUACUGUCGGCCUAGAGGGGGUCAGAGGGGCGUGGAAUUUCCAGUGUAGCGGUAAAAUGCGCAGAUAUUGGAAGGAACACCCGUGGCGAAGGCGGCGUCCUGGGGCCCACCUGACGCUGAGAGACGAAAGCUAGGGGAGCGAACAGGAUUAGAGACCCUGGUAGUCCUAGCCCUAAACGAUGAAUGCUAGGUGUGGGGGCGUAGUGUCUCCGUGCCGUAGCCAACGCGAUAAGCAUUCCGCCUGGGGAGUACGGCCGCAAGGUUAAAACUCAAACGAAUUGACGGGACCCCGCACAAGCAGCGGAGCGUGUGGUUUAAUUCGAUUUUACACGAAGAACCUUACCUGGGUUUGACAUCUAGGUGGUAGGGAAGCGAAAGCCGACCGACUCGUAAGAGAGCCUAGACAGGUGCUGCAUGGCUGUCGUCAGCUCGUGCCGUGAGGUGUCGGGUUAAGUCCCGUAACGAGCGCAACCCCUGCCCUUAGUUACAUGUGUCUAGGGGGACUGCCGGCGGGAAGCCGGAGGAAGGUGGGGAUGACGUCAAGUCAGCAUGGCCCUUAUGUCCAGGGCUACACACACACGCUACAAUGGCCGGUACAAUGGGCAGCGAAGCCGCGAGGUAGAGCGAAUCCGGGCAAAGCCGGUCGUAGUUCGGAUAGCAGGCUGCAACCCGCCUGCUUGAAGCUGGAGUUGCUAGUAACCGCGCGUCAGCCAUAGUGCGGUGAUUACGUUCCCGGGGUUUGUACACACCGCCCGUCACGUCAUGGGAGUUGGUAACGCCUGAAGCCGGUAGGCUAGCCCGCAAGGGGGGCCGCCGUCGAAGGCGGGACUGGCGACUGGGACGAAGUCGUAACAAGGUA